Molecule: transfer RNA, 66 nt
Filed under: Pholas orientalis
Lineage: Eukaryota; Metazoa; Mollusca; Bivalvia; Myida; Pholadidae
Description: tRNA-Trp
Source: RNAcentral
AGGGUAUUAAGUUAAAUAGACUAUGAUACUUCAAAUAUCAAAGUAAACUUUUUGGUUUAUGCCUUG